GAUGAACGCUGGCGGCGUGCCUAAUACAUGCAAGUCGAGCGAACGGACGAGAAGCUUGCUUCUCUGAUGUUAGCGGCGGACGGGUGAGUAACACGUGGAUAACCUACCUAUAAGACUGGGAUAACUUCGGGAAACCGGAGCUAAUACCGGAUAAUAUUUUGAACCGCAUGGUUCAAAAGUGAAAGACGGUCUUGCUGUCACUUAUAGAUGGAUCCGCGCUGCAUUAGCUAGUUGGUAAGGUAACGGCUUACCAAGGCAACGAUGCAUAGCCGACCUGAGAGGGUGAUCGGCCAGACUGGAACUGAGACACGGUCCAGACUCCUACGGGAGGCAGCAGUAGGGAAUCUUCCGCAAUGGGCGAAAGCCUGACGGAGCAACACCGCGUGAGUGAUGAAGGUCUUCGGAUCGUAAAACUCUGUUAUUAGGGAAGAACAUAUGUGUAAGUAACUGUGCACAUCUUGACGGUACCUAAUCAGAAAGCCACGGCUAACUACGUG
Molecule: ribosomal RNA, 497 nt
Filed under: uncultured bacterium
Lineage: Bacteria
Description: partial 16S ribosomal RNA
Rfam family: Bacterial small subunit ribosomal RNA
Source: RNAcentral